This 406-nucleotide long non-coding RNA is filed under the name Selaginella moellendorffii. Its description in RNAcentral is "long non-coding RNA (SMOE_LNC000285)". Lineage: Eukaryota; Viridiplantae; Streptophyta; Lycopodiopsida; Selaginellales; Selaginellaceae. The record is from RNAcentral.
CCAUAGCCAAGUCCGUACGUUGCAGAGGUCCAAAUAUCAUCGUGAAAAACUGUGUCGUACAACACGGCUGCGCAUUUCCACGCGAAGGUACUUAAACGCCGUAUUACUCACUAAGUUUUUCUUAGAGACUGUUCGUUUUGGGAGUGAUUAUUAGCGUCAAGCAGCUCAUCGCGGGUUAGAUUACACCUCCGAAUUAAGCGGAGAAUAUCCAAGAGAUUUAUUCGAAUAUUCAUAUGUGAUGAAGAUGGAGCAAAGGAUGUGCGGCGAUUGAGAAGAGGGUCAGUCAAAUUCUUAUGCAAAUGAUGUAUCCUCCUCCAAUUGUGUAUAGCUAUAACCAGCUGAUGUCCAAGGGGAUCUUGUGCUAGAUUUCUUAAUGCAUCAAAUAUAAACAUUACUAUUGACCUUG